RNAcentral lists this ribosomal RNA (1289 nucleotides) under Ammonia beccarii. Its description in RNAcentral is "partial large subunit ribosomal RNA". It matches the Rfam family "Eukaryotic large subunit ribosomal RNA", at positions 1 to 982 of the family's 3401-position model. The record is from RNAcentral. Lineage: Eukaryota; Foraminifera; Rotaliida; Rotaliidae.
CACAUCAGCUCGAGUGAGAAUACGCGCUAAACUUAAGCAUAUCAGUCAGCGCACGUAAUAACAGAAACUAACCAGGAUUCCCUUAGUAACGGCGAGUGAACUGGGAUACCAAUAUAUUUAUGCGUCUCUGGCGCAUAUUUUUAGCCCGUCGAUACUAUCCUAGCGUAUUACCGGUUUCGGCCGGUAGCCCAAUACGCGGGAAUUGUAGCAUCGUAAUAAAAUAUACACCAUGCCUGCGUCGCAAACGUAUAUACACGUAUACUCACACACACACACAUACUCUCGUACGCGUACACACCCCUUGCAAACACACAGCGCUCCCGCGUUGGAAAGCAAGUCUAUAUCCUCUUUGGAUAUGCCAUAGAGUGUGACAGCCACGUUUGAAACACCCUUACGUACCGUACACACACAUACGUAAAAAUACGCGCUGCUUCGCAUACGCAUACCGUAUAUAACCUGAGUCGAGUUAUUUGGGACUAUAGCUCUAAUAGUUUGGUUGGUGGUAAUGACACAUCAAAGGCUAAAUAUUGGUUAGUCGAUGCAUUUUGCGGAGACCGAUAGCAUACAAGUACCGUAAGGAACGAUGAAAAGCACCCUAUUAAGUUCACGGCGUCGGCCGCGUACAAUUCGUUGUACAACGCCGCGCCCAACAACUACAGUGGGAGUGAAAGAGAGAGUGAAAUCGCCUAUACAUAUAAUAUAUACUACGCGGCGUAUACACACACACAUAUACCCCCCUCGUAUUAUAAGUCUGCGUUAGUACAAUCGGACAGAGUGUCGUAUUAUAGCCGCCUAAUAUACAGUUUCUAAUUGUAUAUUAUGGCUUUGGCUCAUAGCGCGCUUCGGCCGCUAUACGCGACACAACUGUACGACCCGUUUUUGAAACACGGACCAAGGAGUUCAACUGGAUUACGAGUCGUCGAGUGUAUUCAUUUAUACUCACACGGCAAAGCGAAAGCAAUCUUAAUCCUGUGCUAGGUUGGCGCCUUUGUGCGCUAACCGCAGCACGCGCUGAGUAAGUAUACGCGUGAAACCUUUCUAAGGUGACGCGCGUACCUUAGAGAGUCAAAUCGCUAAGGAUUACUCAAGCGUUCAACGAGUAUAUCUUGUUGAGACCCGAAAGAUGGUGAACUAUGCUCGGAUAUGGCGAAGUCAGGUGAAAACUUGAUGGAAGCUUGCGUUGUGCGGAACUGACGUGCAAAUCGUUACCGCCUAACCUGAGUAUAGGGGCGAAAGACUCAUCGAACCAUCUAGUAGCUGGUUCCCUCCGAAGUUUCCCUCAGGAUAGC